This 439-nucleotide ribosomal RNA is filed under the name uncultured bacterium. RNAcentral describes it as "partial 16S ribosomal RNA". It matches the Rfam family "Bacterial small subunit ribosomal RNA", at positions 339 to 795 of the family's 1533-position model. The record is from RNAcentral.
UUACGGGCUGCACCAGUGAGGAAUAUUGCACAAUGGGGGGAACCCUGAUGCAGCAACGCCGCGUGGAGGAUGACGCAUUUCGGUGUGUAAACUCCUUUUAUAUGUCAAGAAAAUGACGGUAGCAUAUGAAUAAGCACCGGCUAACUCCGUGCCAGCAGCCGCGGUAAUACGAAGGGUGCAAGCGUUACUCGGAAUCACUGGGCGUAAAGGACGCGUAGGCGGGUUGGAAAGUCAGGUGUGAAAUCCUACAGCUUAACUGUAGAACUGCACUUGAAACUUCUAAUCUAGAGUAUGGGAGGGGGAGAUGGAAUUAGUGGUGUAGGGGUAAAAUCCGUAGAUAUCACUAGGAAUACCUAAAGCGAAGGCGAUCUCCUGGAACAUUACUGACGCUAAGGCGUGAAAGCGUGGGGAGCAAACAGGAUUAGAUACCCCCGUAGUC